Long non-coding RNA from Gadus macrocephalus (Pacific cod), 3068 nucleotides. RefSeq lists it as uncharacterized. The record is from RefSeq and is a predicted model, not a curated record. The transcript is spliced from 6 exons. Lineage: Eukaryota; Metazoa; Chordata; Actinopteri; Gadiformes; Gadidae.
UUGCCCUCAAUUUCACGCAAAGAAAGGAAAACAACUUUGUUUGUCUGAUUGGCAGAUGAAAUAUUUUUUAUUUGGGUUUCAUAACGUUUGUACCUAAUACGUGAUGACGAAGAAAAAACACGUCUGCCCCUCUUUCCUUGUUUAUCAUCCACCCCAAACGGCGGUAAUUAAUGUCCCCAAACGCCCCCAAGCGGUUGAACUACAGAAUUACAGCUAGUUUAUUGGAGGUUACAUAAACAAAAAAAUGUAUGCAGACAAGAGUACCGAUUGGGUGAAGGUGCAAUGGUGCAUACACCCGAACAUAUUCAAAUCAUCAUUAUGUAUUGAUCCAAGAUUCACUGCUAAGGGGCUUGACCACUUCCACUGGUAGAAGCCAUCUGGUAACAGGUGUUUUUGUGUCCGGAGAUCCCUGCAGGAAAGGCACCACAGAAUGAUGGAUUUUACCAGUGGAUUCAAAACCAGCACUUCUCAUACUUCAAACAGACUGAGCUCUUCCACCACUUCUCCCUCUGCAGAGAGCUGCCCCAGGUACCCUCCUCAUGUCAGCUCAAAGGACAUUAAGGAGAAGACUUGGGGACCUUCUGCGUGAGAGUGGACCACUUGCUUCACAUGGCCCUUCGGAGGGACCCAGGCCAGAGGGCUCGCUACCAGGCCCACUACGCCUUCAUCAAGGCCUUCCCACUCCCGGUAGGCUCCAGCUUCAUGGCCGCCUGUCGCCUCACCUAUGAUUCUGGCUCGUACGUUCUACAGAUUCUUGGAAGAAGAGGACAAAUGUCUUCCCACACAUCUGGUUGGUAUCUCAAUGGGAAUGUCCCAUUGAAAUUAAAAAACAAUUUUUCAAGGUAGUCCAGGCCAAGAGGCAGCAAAAAAGACAGCAAAAAGCAAAAGAGUUGUCAGUUGUUGGUGCACAGCGCCCCCCGGGGGACGGGAUGCGCCGAGGCAGAAGGUGUGGCGGAUAAGGGUGUUGCAGGAACCUGGGUCAGCGAUCUUCUGCUACACUGCAGUGGUACCUCUGAACGAGGGCUCCCCCUGGGGGACGUCAGGCGAGGGGCGUCCAUCCAUCUGGACCACAAGAAGCAUGAGAAAGGUACGUAACACAGUCAAUUGAAAAUUGUUUAUUCGAACCAAAUCAACACUUCAAGUGGGAUAUGUCAAGAGAAACUUAAUAUACUAAAUGAUCAUGUCGAAACAACGUAUGUUGCAUCAAACCCAAUGUGUGAAUGGGUAUUGCUGAACCCAUUCUAUGGAAGGCUGACUCCUAUUUUAUCUAAUUUAUAAGACCUGCGUGACCUCGCUCUUGCAAACCAGGCCAGGGCCCGGGAGCGUGGCCUCUGGCUGCAAAAACAUCUGCAGGGUAAAGCUGCCGUGUACCUAUCAUAUCUGAGACAGUAUGGACUGAAGCAGUUUCAUGUAUUGACUCCAUUAGCUUUUCUUUUGUUUGUUUUGGUUGGUUUGUGUUUGUUCAUUGCAACUACCCCUUAAUAGCAUAGCUUCUACAUAAUCGCAUUGCAUCAGUUUGAAUUAUUUUUUUUUAAUAUUAUUAAUGGAAUGAGAAACAUUGGUGGAGUUGGUUUGUGAAUUGAAGUGCGGAGUCGUGUAUAACAGAAUCCUUAAACGAUAUGUUGUCAUGACAAUGGGGAAGCAUAUUUUGAAGAGUUAUCACAGAAUAAAAAUUGGUUACAGAACAGGUCAUUGAGAUAUUAAGAUGUCCUUCGUCCCCUCUUGAUGUUCCCCGGAUGGAGGAAGGUUGGGGCUGCAUUAAAAACCCUUAAUUUAAACAUCAGAUUUGCUCAGAAUAAACACAAGUAGAAUUGAUCAGAACACCUUCCCUGAGAGACAUCAGAGCGCAGACGCUUUUAAACGGGUGAGUUGUCAACACUUACUCAUUGUAUCGUUGGGCCCACGGCUUGCCAUGCAAGCUGCCUCCCCAAUCUGUUAUGUUCUCUCACUGCCUCUCAGAGCAUCAAACAAAAGCUGUCUCUCUCUCUCUCUCACCCUCUCUCUACCUCACGUUUCUUCUCUCUCUCGCUCUCGCUCUCUCUCUCUCUCUCUCGUCUCUACCUCCAGAAACGUUCUUGGAAAGCCGUCAGCAGGCUCAUCCGAAGCAUCUGUCCAUUCCGACGUCGCACCAUGAGCAACUCUGAAACGUGGAUCCCGGUUUUGAGGCCUACCUCGUACACCGGCGGGCUGUUUACUCCACAAGCACGCGGUUUUAUAAAUGGACACUAUUCAUCGCCCUUUGCUCUUACUGACCCACUUUCUAACGAUCCGUCUCUGUGUCGUUAGGGAGUCCGUCCUGUAUUCGUGGACAGGCCUACAUGGCCUCCAUUUUAAAGGGGUGAUAUUAUGCCACCAGGUAUGAGUGAGACUAGCCAUUACAGGCCUUUCCCUGUGCCCUGGUGACCUCAGUAGUGUAUUUUGGAUAGACAAGCAACAUUUGCCACAGUCCACUAGGUAGGCUGGUGGAAUGAUCUAUCCAGCACAAAUCUAGGUUGACAUACCCACUAAUGAAGUCAAUAGGCCACAGGGAAAGGCAGAUUUUCAAACGGCUUGUAACGGCCAAUCACACUCACACCUGGUGGAAUGAUAUCGCCCCUUUAAAUCGCAUGUCGUGUUGUAUCUGACCACCGUACUGCAUGCACCUUCAGGAGGCCGGCGUGCCCUGCUGACAGAGAUGAGCCCUCAGAAGAGGGAGACUACAGCUCGCUCAAACUGAAGGCUGACGUCGUCGUUGAUUCUAUCACCUGCGCUGAAAUGUUCGACCGGCUCAGGGCAGAUCAACAUUUCAAUGGAUAUGUCGCUGUCCAUCAGGCAGCUUGGCGGGCAGAGUGGACAGGAGUCUAUUUCCUGAGGCCAUGUUCUCUGUGUUUCCUACUCCGCUCUACUGCUGGAAAAAGUGAGUUUUGUGGUGCUUGCAAGGAUACAGACGAGACCAGGUCCACAUCACAUCAAUAGUACAGGAACAGGUUAAAUAAGAUACAUUUAGAUGCAUUGAGAACAUUGUGUUACAAAUGUUGUUGUUUUUGUCUUAUCAUUUAUGAGCAAAAGUCUGAACCGAGAUGGACCAA